RNAcentral lists this transfer RNA (74 nucleotides) under Myotis davidii. It matches the Rfam family "tRNA". Rfam says of the family: Transfer RNA (tRNA) molecules are approximately 80 nucleotides in length. Their secondary structure includes four short double-helical elements and three loops (D, anti-codon, and T loops). The record is from Rfam by way of RNAcentral. Lineage: Eukaryota; Metazoa; Chordata; Mammalia; Chiroptera; Vespertilionidae.
GCCCAUGUGGCUAAGAGGUUGGAGCAUCAGAGCAUGAACCUGAAGGUUGCAGGUUCAAUUCCCAGUCAAGGGCA